UGGUCAACAAGAGUGAAACUCCGUCAAAA
RNAcentral lists this non-coding RNA (29 nucleotides) under Homo sapiens (human). Lineage: Eukaryota; Metazoa; Chordata; Mammalia; Primates; Hominidae. The record is from RNAcentral.